This 433-nucleotide ribosomal RNA is filed under the name uncultured bacterium. RNAcentral describes it as "partial 16S ribosomal RNA". It matches the Rfam family "Bacterial small subunit ribosomal RNA", at positions 29 to 507 of the family's 1533-position model. The record is from RNAcentral.
AACGAACGCUGGCGGCAUGCCUAACACAUGCAAGUCGAACGAGACCUUCGGGUCUAGUGGCGCACGGGUGCGUAACGCGUGGGAACCUGCCCUUAGGUUCGGAAUAACUCCCCGAAAGGGGUGCUAAUACCGGAUAAUGUCUUCGGACCAAAGAUUUAUCGCCUUUGGAUGGGCCCGCGUUGGAUUAGCUAGUUGGUAGGGUAAAAGCCUACCAAGGCGACGAUCCAUAGCUGGUCUGAGAGGAUGAUCAGCCGCACUGGGACUGAGACACGGCCCAGACUGCUACGGGAGGCAGCAGUAGGGAAUAUUGGACGAUGAGCGAAAGCCUGAUCCAGCAAUGCCGCGUGAGUGAUGAAGGCCUUAGGGUUGUAAAGCUCUUUUACCCGAGAUGAUAAUGACAGUACCGGGAGAAUAAGCUCCGGCUAACUCCGUG